This 21-nucleotide small RNA is filed under the name Arabidopsis thaliana (thale cress). RNAcentral describes it as "ATSL254010". The record is from RNAcentral. Lineage: Eukaryota; Viridiplantae; Streptophyta; Magnoliopsida; Brassicales; Brassicaceae.
AAAAACAAGAAGAAGAAUCUU